This is a long non-coding RNA of Melospiza georgiana, 1014 nucleotides long. RefSeq lists it as uncharacterized. The record is from RefSeq and is a predicted model, not a curated record. Lineage: Eukaryota; Metazoa; Chordata; Aves; Passeriformes; Passerellidae. The transcript has 6 exons.
UACAUGUGUGCAUUUUUAACCCCAUAACUGCUGAUGUACUCUGUGGCAAAUCAAAUUUUGAUAAAGUUUUGAGGCCAAACUCCUAACUUCUUUUCAUUCCUGGAGCUCAGUAACUCUGGAUAGGAAGCAUUUGUCAUCCAUAAAAGUGUUGAUUCCAUCUCCAGUAAUCACCCACCCCUCUAAUCCAUCAUACUCCAACUGAUUAAAUGUAAAUCUGAUUAGCUCACAUAAGAACUAAGAACUUUUUCUUAUUCCCUUUGGUAAACACAUCAGUCCAAUGACCUGGGCAUCAAGAGAAACAAGCUUUACACUUUACAGGGGAGCAUCAAUAAUCCCAAGGAAAUGCUGAUUCUAAGUGCUCACAGCCACCAGGAAGGCUGAGGGCACUUUAUGAGAGAAAUCCUUCAUCUCUUACACUGCUCAGAGCCACAGAUUUGCUUGGUUAGCUGAUCAUGCUUCCUUCAGAAGGCCUAUCUGCUUAAUGCAACAGCUCAAUAAGGCAGCAUUAAUUUUAAUUAACAAAUUGCUUGUACACCUACAGCUCUAUCACAUUGUCACUGUGGCCAGGGUUAGGAAAUUGUCCGAAGAAAAUAAAUUUGAAGCAACUCAGGCACAGCAAGCCUGUCUACCAGAUUGUCAGAAAAUGUCUUCAGGAUGGCCAGCAUGAGGCUUCCACCAAGAUUUAUCGACAAAAUGAGUCAGAAAAACCCCACAUCAUGGAACCAGGAACCAGGAAAAGGUAAAUUGAUCCAGACCUACAUGCACGCAGUGUUUGAUGUCCUUGGCAGCAAGAACCUGUGAUGGCAGCCAGGAUGAGCCCACUCUUCAAGAUUUUGCUGGGUUUGCAAUGUGGCAAUUAUUGCCAGAGAAAUGGAAGAGAUCUCACGUUUCCCUGGGAGUUGAAAUUUUGGAUAAUCACCUCCAAGGCAAAGAAAGAGUAACAGUGCAAACCAGGAAAUUAUUAACAUGAAACUAAAGCGAGUCCAUUCCUUUAACAAGGAUGUUGAACAGGAA